AGCGAACGCUGGCGGCAGGCUUAACACAUGCAGGUCGAGCGGGCAUCUUCGGAUGUCAGCGGCAGACGGGUGAGUAACACGUGGGAACGUACCCUUCGGUUCGGAACAACUCUGGGAAACUGGAGCUAAUACCGGAUACGCCCUUAUGGGGAAAGGUUUACUGCCGAAGGAUCGGCCCGCGUCUGAUUAGCUAGUUGGUGGGGUAACGGCCUACCAAGGCGACGAUCAGUAGCUGGUCUGAGAGGAUGAUCAGCCACACUGGGACUGAGACACGGCCCAGACUCCUACGGGAGGCAGCAGUGGGGAAUAUUGGACAAUGGGCGCAAGCCUGAUCCAGCCAUGCCGCGUGAGUGAUGAAGGCCUUAGGGUUGUAAAGCUCUUUUGUCCGGGACGAUAAUGACGGUACCGGAAGAAUAAGCCCCGGCUAACUUCGUG
Molecule: ribosomal RNA, 435 nt
Filed under: uncultured bacterium
Lineage: Bacteria
Description: partial 16S ribosomal RNA
Rfam family: Bacterial small subunit ribosomal RNA
Source: RNAcentral